GCACUACAUGGCCCGAAUCAUGGGAAGUUUAGACACAGCCUCGGGUUUAGGUAAACACCUCAGAACUUAAUAUCAAAUGCCUGUAGAGAGCAAGAUCAGAUGCAGACAUUGUUAAUGCCCGAGUAGUGAGUAUGAAUUGGACUAGCUAUCCUCAAAACUGCUCAGGUCAACUGACAUCAACAGUAGACCGACCACCGAACAGGGAUUAAGCAGGUACCAUCAGACUACUUGAACUACAUACUUCAAUUAGACUAACAGAAAAGAUAAGGUCAUUUAACUACAUACUUCAAUUAGACUAACAGAAAAGAUAAGGUCACUGCAUAUCAAAACUUAAGACUGGAAUUCAUUGAAUGUAUACUCGCAACAUAAACAUCACCAAAACCAGACAACUUCGACAAAAAAGAUUCCAAUUCAAAAGUGAUCUAGAGUCUCAUUAACGUUUAAGCUAAACUUGAAGCAAUACAACGAAAUGCUCCAGCGAAUGGCCAACAAGAAGAUAAAAGCUGGGCUCUCAC
RNAcentral lists this long non-coding RNA (515 nucleotides) under Linum usitatissimum (flax). RNAcentral's name for it is "long non-coding RNA (LUSI_LNC007538)". Lineage: Eukaryota; Viridiplantae; Streptophyta; Magnoliopsida; Malpighiales; Linaceae. The record is from RNAcentral.